GGCCAUAGUGGGUGAUAGCCCUGUACGCGAAAAUCUCUUAGUCAUGAAAUCGAGUAGGACGGAGCACGAGAAACUUUGUCUGAAUAUGGGGGGACCAUCCUCCAAGGCUAAAUACUACUGACUGACCGAUAGUGAACUAGUACCGUGAGGGAAAGGCGAAAAGAACCCCGGAGAGGGGAGUGAAAUAGAUCCUGAAACCGUAUGCGUACAAGCAGUGGGAGCAGACUUUGUUCUGUGACUGCGUACCUUUUGUAUAAUGGGUCAGCGACUUAUUUUCAGUGGCGAGCUUAACCGAAUAGGGGAGGCGUAGCGAAAGCGAGUCUUAAUAGGGCGUCUAGUCGCUGGGAAUAGACCCGAAACCGGGCGAUCUAUCCAUGGGCAGGUUGAAGGUUGGGUAACACUAACUGGAGGACCGAACCGACUACCGUUGAAAAGUUAGCGGAUGACCUGUGGAUCGGAGUGAAAGGCUAAUCAAGCUCGGAGAUAGCUGGUUCUCCUCGAAAGCUAUUUAGGUAGCGCCUCAUGUAUCACUGUAGGGGGUAGAGCACUGUUUCGGCUAGGGGGUCA
Molecule: ribosomal RNA, 567 nt
Filed under: Helicobacter pullorum NCTC 12824
Lineage: Bacteria; Pseudomonadati; Campylobacterota; Epsilonproteobacteria; Campylobacterales; Helicobacteraceae
Description: partial 23S ribosomal RNA
Rfam family: Bacterial large subunit ribosomal RNA
Source: RNAcentral